RNAcentral lists this ribosomal RNA (383 nucleotides) under uncultured Entomophthoromycota. Its description in RNAcentral is "eukaryotic LSU rRNA". The stretch from base 328 to 383 matches the Rfam family "Eukaryotic large subunit ribosomal RNA", at positions 1 to 56 of the family's 3401-position model. The record is from RNAcentral. Lineage: Eukaryota; Fungi; Entomophthoromycota.
AGACUAUACUGUGAAUCAUCGAAUCUUUGAACGCAACACGCACUUUCUAUGCACUAGUGGUAUAGGGAGUAUAUUUGUUUGAGUGUCACAUUUGAUAACAAUCGAUUACAAGUACUCCUUGUUAUAUCGGCAUUUGACAGUUUAGUGAUAAUCUAAUCUGUUUAAAUACAAUGUGCUGUUGCUUACUAGUAUCCAGUCAGUAACCGAGGAAUUUAGUUAAUGUGUAAAUAUAUAUUGCUAAACCUCAAAUUCUUUGAUUGGGUAUUAUCAGACAGUGCUCAUUCUUAUAUUUAGACCCUUAAUAAGGUCAAUAAAAAGAAUUUUUCAUGACAUCAAAUCAAGUAAGGUUACCCGCUGAAUUUAAGCAUAUCAAUAAGCGGAGG